Molecule: long non-coding RNA, 1013 nt
Filed under: Musa acuminata (dwarf banana)
Lineage: Eukaryota; Viridiplantae; Streptophyta; Magnoliopsida; Zingiberales; Musaceae
Description: long non-coding RNA (MACU_LNC000513)
Source: RNAcentral
GAUCUUUCUCCCCAUUAGCAGGUUUAAUCAAGUUCAUCCAGUCCACCAAACUUUUUUUCCUUUCAGCUGAUUGAUCAGAUACCUUGCUAGCAUCAGCAGCUUCUUCGCCUCUGGUUAGGCUACCAUUUCAACCCAUCUCCUUAAGCUACAAUUUUUUGUCACAUUAAUUAAUUUGUAAACAAAAAACAUAUUUGCACAAAUGACAUUGAAAUACAUAAAAAGAUACUAUGGAAACAUGUAAAGAUUACAGCCAAAAAAAGAAACAAAAUAGCUAAGAAGUUUGAGUGACAUAUUGAGAGAAAAUUUAUUUACAGUUACAGACACUGUAAUGAUCUAUAGUGUCAAAAGAAGUCCAAAUAUCUAAUUAAUACCUGUAGCAGGAAUUUGACCAGUAAUUCAAGGAGUUCAAGAAAGUUAUCUACAUUCAAAAGAGAAGCUACUCAUCUAACAAAAUAAGGAUUAAUGGUUUGCCAUGAAGAACUGAUCUUUCUGCUGUUUCUUCUUGAGCUUGACAUGUUUUGCACAAUACUAAGAUUAGGCAAGGUCAGAUAAGUUUGGGCCGUGCAGAUCCUCUAGUAACAUGAUCAACCUGAAAUAAGAGGAUGAUUCUAUGUGUUUUGUGAGAUCAAAGAACAAUAAUUGGUAAAUCUGAAAGUACUGUAUGAUUUUAGAGUAUCUGGUCGAAAAAUAGAUAGUGAUGUUGGGUCUUGAAAAUUCAAAUUAUCGCAAAUCUGCCAAUAUACUGAACGACAAGAUUUCUAAUUUUCCUCUCAGAUACAUAGGGUUUACCCUUAGACCAGAUGUCUCAUGUCUCGUGAGCAAAUGAUUAAUCCCAACUGAUAAUAUCAUAGUUUUCUUCCAGACAAUCUUGUCUCACAUCUAAUCUCAAUGAUGACUUAGGUUUAUUACGAAACAGUUAAGAUCAUGCAUAUGAGUUCUCAAAUGUUUUUCAAGCUGGCUUUUAGCGGCCUUCCACAACCCUCCACCUUUUUCAUUCGGGCUUGGGACCGACA